This 497-nucleotide ribosomal RNA is filed under the name uncultured bacterium. RNAcentral describes it as "partial 16S ribosomal RNA". It matches the Rfam family "Bacterial small subunit ribosomal RNA", at positions 28 to 507 of the family's 1533-position model. The record is from RNAcentral.
GAUGAACGCUGGCGGCGUGCCUAAUACAUGCAAGUCGAGCGAACAGAUGAGGAGCUUGCUCCUCUGACGUUAGCGGCGGACGGGUGAGUAACACGUGGAUAACCUACCUAUAAGACUGGGAUAACUUCGGGAAACCGGAGCUAAUACCGGAUAAUAUAUUUAACCGCAUGGUUCAAUAGUGAAAGACGGUUUUGCUGUCACUUAUAGAUGGAUCCGCGCCGCAUUAGCUAGUUGGUAAGGUAACGGCUUACCAAGGCAACGAUGCGUAGCCGACCUGAGAGGGUGAUCGGCCACACUGGAACUGAGAGACGGUCCAGACUCCUACGGGAGGCAGCAGUAGGGAAUCUUCCGAAAUGGGCGAAAGCCUGACGGAGCAACGCCGCGUGAGUGAUGAAGGUCUUCGGAUCGUAAAACUCUGUUAUUAGGGAAGAACAAAUGUGUAAGUAACUAUGCACGUCUUGACGGUACCUAAUCAGAAAGCCACGGCUAACUACGUG